GUUUAGGGUUUUAGAGAAACCCUUUGCAGCUUCGCUUUUCAUCUUGCAAUGGCGUUCUGGGGAGUUGAAUUGAAGUCUGGUAAACCGUUCACUCACAAUUUCGAAAAAGAGAGGGGAAGACUUCACAUCUCACAGGCAACAUUAGGCUCAGGCUCGUCAAACAAAAAAUGCAUAGUUCAAUGCAAAGUAGGUGAUAAGGAGCCUAUUUACUUGUGUUCGUUAUUGCCAGAAAAACUGGAGACAUGCCCGUUGAAUCUCGAGUUUGAGGAGGAUGAUGAUGUUACCUUCUCAGUUGUUGGUUCUCACAGUGUUCAUCUCUCUGGUUUCUUUUAUGGAGAGAGUGAGGAUUGCUGUGGUGAUGAACAUGGAUCUGACUAUGAGGAAGGUGCUUCUGAGACUGAUAGUGCAUCUGAUGAUUCGUUCGAAUUCAAUUAUGACACAGAAGAUGAAGAUGGCUCAACUGAUGAUGAUGAUUUUAGCAUGUACCCACCUUCCCCUAUUCCUAACAGUGGAGUGAGAAUUGAAGAGAUACUGGAGGACGAAAAGCCUGCAGAUGAAAAUGGUACAUCCAAAAAGCCAAAGAAGAAGAAAAAUCACUCAAAUGGGAUUGAUGACUCAGAGCGCCAGAUAGUUGUGAAGGGUAAUACUGAAAGUCCUCUGAUGGAGAGUGAAGAUGAGGAUGGCUUUCCGAU
This 692-nucleotide unclassified non-coding RNA is filed under the name Hevea brasiliensis (rubber tree). Lineage: Eukaryota; Viridiplantae; Streptophyta; Magnoliopsida; Malpighiales; Euphorbiaceae. The record is from RNAcentral.